This 445-nucleotide ribosomal RNA is filed under the name uncultured bacterium. Its description in RNAcentral is "bacterial SSU rRNA". It matches the Rfam family "Bacterial small subunit ribosomal RNA", at positions 354 to 796 of the family's 1533-position model. The record is from RNAcentral.
GUAGGGAAUAUUGGGCAAUGGAUGCAAGUCUGACCCAGCCAUCCCGCGUGCCGGAAGAAGGCCCUCAGGGUUGUAAACGGCUUUUGACGGUGAAGAAUCGACAGGAUGCGUCCUGUUUUGACGGUAGCCGUUGAAUAAGCACCGGCUAACUCCGUGCCAGCAGCCGCGGUAAUACGGAGGGUGCGAGCGUUGUCCGGAUGUAUUGGGUUUAAAGGGUGCGUAGGCUGGAAGGUCAGUCAGCGGUGAAAAGCUGUCGCUUAACGAUAGUCUUGCCGCAGAUAAUUCCUUUCUUGGAUGAGGAGGAGGCCACUGGAACGGAUGGUGUAGCGGUGAAAUGCAUAGAUAUCAUCCAGAACACCGAUUGCGAAGGCAGGUGGCUGUACCUUAAUCGACGCUGAUGCACGAAAGCAUGGGGAGCAAACAGGAUUAGAAACCCGUGUAGUCC